RNAcentral lists this ribosomal RNA (56 nucleotides) under Aspergillus niger. Its description in RNAcentral is "partial 28S ribosomal RNA". RNAcentral also lists the same sequence under 1 other name. The record is from RNAcentral. Lineage: Eukaryota; Fungi; Ascomycota; Eurotiomycetes; Eurotiales; Aspergillaceae.
UUGACCUCGGAUCAGGUAGGGAUACCCGCUGAACUUAAGCAUAUCAAUAAGCCGGA